CAGUAGCCGCGGGAAUACGUAGGUGGCAAGCGUUGUCCGGAAUUAUUGGGCGUAAAGGGCUCGCAGGCGGUUUCUUAAGUCUGAUGUGAAAGCCCCCGGCUCAACCGGGGAGGGUCAUUGGAAACUGGGAAACCUGAGUGCAGAAGAGGAGAGUGGAAUUCCACGUGUAGCGGUGAAAUGCGUAGAGAUGUGGAGGAACACCAGUGGCGAAGGCGACUCUCUGGUCUGUAACUGACGCUGAGGAGCGAAAGCGUGGGGAGCGAACAGGAUUAGAGACCCCUGUAGUCCCUGUCUCUUAUCA
Molecule: ribosomal RNA, 301 nt
Filed under: uncultured bacterium
Lineage: Bacteria
Description: partial 16S ribosomal RNA
Rfam family: Bacterial small subunit ribosomal RNA
Source: RNAcentral